This 239-nucleotide unclassified non-coding RNA is filed under the name uncultured Cistella. RNAcentral's name for it is "sequence contains 5.8S rRNA gene". The stretch from base 1 to 53 matches the Rfam family "5.8S ribosomal RNA", at positions 102 to 154 of the family's 154-position model. The record is from RNAcentral. Lineage: Eukaryota; Fungi; Ascomycota; Leotiomycetes; Helotiales; Hyaloscyphaceae.
GAACGCACAUUGCGCCCCUUGGUAUUCCGGGGGGCAUGCCUGUUCGAGCGUCAUUAUAACCCUCAAGCCUAGCUUGGUGUUGGGGCAUGCCUUUGGGCAGCCCUUAAAAUCAGUGGCAGUGCCUGUCGGCUCUAAGCGUAGUAAUUUCUCUCGCUAUAGGGUCCGGUAGAACACGCGCCAGAACCCCCAACUUUCUAUGGUUGACCUCGGAUCAGGUAGGGAUACCCGCUGAACUUAAG